UCCAGGAAUUCGUCUUUCCACAGACCUAUGC
Molecule: non-coding RNA, 31 nt
Filed under: Mus musculus (house mouse)
Lineage: Eukaryota; Metazoa; Chordata; Mammalia; Rodentia; Muridae
Source: RNAcentral